RNAcentral lists this ribosomal RNA (906 nucleotides) under uncultured methanogenic archaeon. Its description in RNAcentral is "bacterial SSU rRNA". It matches the Rfam family "Archaeal small subunit ribosomal RNA", at positions 1 to 913 of the family's 1478-position model. Lineage: Archaea; Methanobacteriati; Methanobacteriota. The record is from RNAcentral.
UCUGUUUGAUCCUGGCAGAGGUUACUGCUAUCGAGGUUCGACUAAGCCAUGCGAGUCGAAUGUAGCAAUACAUGGCGAACUGCUCAGUAACACGUGGACAACCUGCCCUUAGGACGGGGAUAAACCCGGGAAACUGGGUAUAAUACCCGAUAGGUCUCGAUUGCUGGAAUGCAUCGAGAUUUAAAGCACCGGCGCCUAAGGAUGGGUCUGCGGCCUAUCAGGUAGUAGUGGGUGUAGCGUACCUACUAGCCUACGACGGGUACGGGUUGUGAGAGCAAGAGCCCGGAGAUGGAUUCUGAGACACGAAUCCAGGCCCUACGGGGUGCAGCAGGCGCGAAAACUUUACAAUGCUGGCAACAGCGAUAAGGGAACCUCGAGUGCCAGGUUACAAAUCUGGCUGUCGAGAUGCCCAAAAAGCAUUUCAUAGCAAGGGCCGGGCAAGACCGGUGCCAGCCGCCGCGGUAACACCGGCGGCUCGAGUGGUAACCGUUAUUAUUGGGUCUAAAGGGUCUGUAGCCGGCCGGAUAAGUCUCUUGAGAAAUCUGGCAGCUUAACUGUCAGGCUUUCAGGAGAUACUGUCUGGCUCGAGGCCGGGAGAGGUGAGAGGUACUUCAGGGGUAGGGGUGAAAUCUUGUAAUCCUUGAAGGACCACCAGUGGCGAAGGCGUCUCACCAGAACGGACCUGACGGCAAGGGACGAAAGCUAGGGGCACGAACCGGAUUAGAUACCCGGGUAGUCCUAGCCGUAAACGAUACUCGCUAGGUGUCGGCCACGGUGCGACCGUUGUCGGUGCCGUAGGGAAGCCGUGAAGCGAGCCACCUGGGAAGUACGGCCGCAAGGCUGAAACUUAAAGGAAUUGGCCGGGGGAGCACCACAACGGGUGGAGCUUGCGGUUUAAUUGGAUUC